This 460-nucleotide ribosomal RNA is filed under the name uncultured bacterium. Its description in RNAcentral is "partial 16S ribosomal RNA". It matches the Rfam family "Bacterial small subunit ribosomal RNA", at positions 338 to 795 of the family's 1533-position model. The record is from RNAcentral.
CCUACGGGAGGCAGCAGUGAGGAAUAUUGGUCAAUGGACGUAAGUCUGAACCAGCCAAGUCGCGUGAAGGAAGACUGCCCUAUGGUUUGUAAACUUCUUUUAUAUGGGAAUAAAGUUAUCCACGUGUGGACUUUUGUAUGUACCCUAUGAAUAAGGAUCGGCUAACUCCGUGCCAGCAGCCGCGGUAAUACGGAGGAUUCGAGCGUUAUCCGGAUUUAUUGGGUUUAAAGGGUGCGUAGGUGGAUUGUUAAGUCAGUUGUGAAAGUUUGCGGCUCAACCGUAAAAUUGCAGUUGAAACUGGAAGUCUUGAGUGGGGUAGAGGUAGGCGGAAUGCGUGGUGUAGCGGUGAAAUGCAUAGAUAUCACGCAGAACUCCGAUUGCGAAGGCAGCUUACUGGACCAUAACUGACACUGAGGCACGAAAGCGUGGGGAUCAAACAGGAUUAGAUACCCGAGUAGUC